UGGGGGAUAUUGCACAAUGGGGGGAACCCUGAUGCAGCGACGCCGCGUGGGUGAAGGAGUGCUCCGGCAUGUAAAGCCCUAUCGGCAGGGAAGAAGAAGGACGGUACCUGACUAAGAAGCCCCGGCUAACUACGUGCCAGCAGCCGCGGUAAUACGUAGGGGGCGAGCGUUAUCCGGAUUCACUGGGUGUAAAGGGAGCGUAGACGGCCAUGCAAGCCAGGGGUGAAAGCCCGGGGCCCAACCCCGGGACUGCCCUUGGAACUGGUUGGCUGGAGUGCGGGAGGGGCAGGCGGAAUUCCUGGUGUAGCGGUGAAAUGCGUAGAUAUCAGGAGGAACACCGGCGGCGAAGGCGGCCUGCUGGACCGCGACUGACGUUGAGGCUCGAAAGCGUGGGGAGCGAACAGG
RNAcentral lists this ribosomal RNA (405 nucleotides) under uncultured bacterium. RNAcentral describes it as "bacterial SSU rRNA". It matches the Rfam family "Bacterial small subunit ribosomal RNA", at positions 355 to 776 of the family's 1533-position model. The record is from RNAcentral.